UCCUUCGGGGGGGGCAGCAGUGGGGAAUUUUGGACGUAUAUGGGGGCAACCCUGAUCCAGCCAUUCCGCGUGAGUGAAGAAGGCCUUCGGGUUGUAAAGCUCUUUCAGCGGAACGAAACGGUGCGCUCUAACAUCGCGUGCUAAUGACGGUACCUGCAGAAGAAGCACCGGCUAACUACGUGCCAGCAGCCGCGGUAAUACGUAGGGUGCGAGCGUUAAUCGGAAUUACUGGGCGUAAAGCGUGCGCAGGCGGAUUGUUAAGCAAGACGUGAAAUCCCCGGGCUUAACCUGGGAAUGGCGUUUUGAACUGGCAGUCUAGAGUGUGUCAGAGGGGGGUGGAAUUCCACGUGUAGCAGUGAAAUGCGUAGAGAUGUGGAGGAACACCRAUGGCGAAGGCAGCCCCCUGGGAUAACACUGACGCUCAUGUACGAAAGCGUGGGUAGCAAACAGGAUUAGAUACCCUGGUAGUCCACGCCCUAAACGAUGUCAACUGGUUGUUGGGGGAGUGAAAUCCCUUAGUACCGAAGCUAACGCGUGAAGUUGACCGCCUGGGGAGUACGGUCGCAAGAUUUAAAACUCAAAAAAUUUUGGCGGG
This 595-nucleotide ribosomal RNA is filed under the name uncultured bacterium. Its description in RNAcentral is "bacterial SSU rRNA". It matches the Rfam family "Bacterial small subunit ribosomal RNA", at positions 337 to 917 of the family's 1533-position model. The record is from RNAcentral.